Molecule: ribosomal RNA, 459 nt
Filed under: uncultured bacterium
Lineage: Bacteria
Description: partial 16S ribosomal RNA
Rfam family: Bacterial small subunit ribosomal RNA
Source: RNAcentral
CCUACGGGAGGCAGCAGUGAGGAAUAUUGGUCAAUGGGCGCGAGUCUGAACCAGCCAUGCCGCGUGAAGGAAGACGGCUCUAUGGGUUGUAAACUUCUUUUAUACGGGGGUAAACGCAGGUACGCGUAUCUGUCUGAAAGUAUCGUACGAAUAAGGAUCGGCUAACUCCGUGCCAGCAGCCGCGGUAAUACGGAGGAUUCAAGCGUUAUCCGGAUUUAUUGGGUUUAAAGGGUGCGUAGACGGAGCGUUAAGUCAGUGGUCAAAUUGUGGGGCUCAACCCCUUAUCGCCAUUGAAACUGGCGCUCUUGAGUGGAAGAGAAGUAUGCGGAAUGCGUGGUGUAGCGGUGAAAUGCAUAGAUAUCACGCAGAACCCCGAUUGCGAAGGCAGCAUGCCGGCUUCCUACUGACGCUGAAGCACGAAAGCGUGGGGAUCGAACAGGAUUAGAUACCCGAGUAGUC